Molecule: long non-coding RNA, 614 nt
Organism: Pomacea canaliculata
Lineage: Eukaryota; Metazoa; Mollusca; Gastropoda; Architaenioglossa; Ampullariidae
Exons: 4
Source: RefSeq, a predicted model, not a curated record
UGAGAAAGCAAGAUGCUAAUGGUGAUGGUUUUCUGAGCUAUGAAGAAUUUAAACUUUCUUAACCCAUUAAAACUCCUGUAAGGAUCGUCAAAGGACAGUUCCAGUACUACGACAAACUGGAUGGCGCAAGCGAUGGCAGAUAUUCUUUUUCGGGUGCAGAUCGAAUGAUAAAUAUCUUGGACACUAAUAAGGACGGCGGAGUCACAGUUGACGAAUUUGUGCAGAACAUUCCGCAUGUUCUAGACGAUAUGACUAAGGAGAUAGAUGCCUUAGUUGUGGUUGGCUAAGCCAUUAGUUGAAAGAGAUUGCAACUAGCGGUUGAUUUCGAGGUAUUGUGUCUUUUGCUUUUAAUGACACAGUAAAGCGAAUUCUGACACUAUGUCAAUGAUGACAAUUUUUCCACCCAUUGACACUAUAUACACAAAGCGUGGAACACCAGACCGACCACUUUACCUGUUGUCAGUAGAGAGAAUAAUCUUUACUUACUUUUUAAGUUAGUAAAAGUUUUCCCUUAAGGUGUGUCCUUUCAAUUUAAAUAAGAUGUUAUUUUUUUCUGUACAGACAGGUGUACGAUGCUGUUCUUAACUUGGACCAUCAUUCCAUCUUGCCGACAU